This 301-nucleotide ribosomal RNA is filed under the name uncultured bacterium. RNAcentral describes it as "partial 16S ribosomal RNA". It matches the Rfam family "Bacterial small subunit ribosomal RNA", at positions 509 to 809 of the family's 1533-position model. The record is from RNAcentral.
CAGUCGCCACGGUAAUACGUAGGGUGCAAGCGUUAAUCGGAAUUACUGGGCGUAAAGCGCACGCAGGCGGUUUGUUAAGUCAGAUGUGAAAUCCCCGAGCUUAACUUGGGAACUGCAUUUGAAACUGGCAAGCUAGAGUCUUGUAGAGGGGGGUAGAAUUCCAGGUGUAGCGGUGAAAUGCGUAGAGAUCUGGAGGAAUACCGGUGGCGAAGGCGGCCCCCUGGACAAAGACUGACGCUCAGGUGCGAAAGCGUGGGGAGCAAACAGGAUUAGAUACCCCUGUAGUCCCUGUCUCUUAUAA